This 1019-nucleotide ribosomal RNA is filed under the name uncultured euryarchaeote. RNAcentral's name for it is "bacterial SSU rRNA". It matches the Rfam family "Archaeal small subunit ribosomal RNA", at positions 326 to 1353 of the family's 1478-position model. Lineage: Archaea; Methanobacteriati; Methanobacteriota. The record is from RNAcentral.
CGGGGUGCAGCAGGCGCGAAACCUUCCCAAUGCGCGAAAGCGUGAGGGGGAAACUCCGAGUUCCUCCAUUUGGAGGAUUUUGUAGUGUGUAAGAAGCACUGCGAAUAAGGGCCGGGCAAUGCCAGUGCCAGCCGCCGCGGUAAUACUGGAGGCCCGAGUGAUACUCACUAUUAUUGGGCUUAAAGCGUUCGUAGCCGGUUUUUUAAGUCUUUUGUGAAAUCCUGCUGCUUAACAGUAGGUCGGGCAAGAGAUACUGAAAGACUAGAGGAUGGGAGAGGUUGGAGGUAUUUCAGGGGUAGGGGCGAAAUCCUAUAAUCCUAGAAGGACCAUCUGGGCGAAGGCGUCCAACUAGAACAUGCCUGACGGUGAGGAACGAAAGCUAGGGGAGCAAACCAGAUUAGAUACCUGGGUAGUCCUAGCCGUAAACUAUGUGGACUGUGUACUGCGGGUGCUUAGGGCUCCCGCAGUGCUGAAGGAAAACCGUUAAGUCCACCGUCAGGGGAGUACGGUCGCAAGGCUGAAACUUAAAGGAAUUGGCGGAGGAGCACCACAAGGGGUGGAGUCUGCGGUUUAAUUGGAUACAACGCCAGACAACUCACCAGGGGCGACGGCAGAAUGACAGUCAGAUUUAAGAUCUUGCUUGACAAGCCGAGAGGUAGUGCAUGGCCACCGUCAGCUCGUACCGUAAGGCGUACCCUUAAGUGGGUUAACGAGCGAGACCCAUACUUUCAUUUGCUACCGUUCAUCUUUGAACGAGCACUAUGGAGGGACCGCUGACGACGAGUCAGAGGAAGGAAUGGGCGAUGAUAGGUCAGUAUGCUCCGAAUCCCUUGGGCUACACGUGGACUACAAUGACAUGAACAAUGGGAUGCAACUCCGAGAGGAGGAGCCAAUCCCCCAAAUCAUGCCUCAGUUCGGAUUGAGGGUUGUAACUCACCCUCAUGAAGAUGAAAUCCCUAGUAACCGUAAGUUAACAUCUUGCGGUGAAUAUGUCCCCGCUCCUUGCACACACCGCCCGU